CUACGGGAGGCUGCAGUCGAGAAUCUUUCGCAAUGGGGGAAACCCUGACGAAGCGACGCCGCGUGGGCGAUGAAGGCCUUCGGGUUGUAAAGCCCUGUCACGAGGGACGAGAGCCGGAGAUCUAACAGAUCGAAGGCUUGACUGUACCUCGAGAGGAAGCCACGGCUAACUCCGUGCCAGCAGCCGCGGUAAUACGGAGGUGGCUAGCGUUGUUCGGAUUCAUUGGGUGUAAAGGGCAUGUAGGUGGCCUUGUAAGUCAGAUGUGAAAUCCCUUGGCUCAACCAAGGAACUGCAUCUGAAACUGCAUGGCGUGAGUGCAGGAGAGGAGAACGGAAUUCCCGGUGUAAGAGUGAAAUCUGUAGAGAUCGGGAGGAACACCAGUGCCGAAGGCGGUUCUCUGGACUGCAACUGACACUGAAAUGCGAAAGCUAGGGGAGCAAACAGGAUUAGAUACCCGUGUAGUC
RNAcentral lists this ribosomal RNA (464 nucleotides) under uncultured bacterium. RNAcentral's name for it is "partial 16S ribosomal RNA". It matches the Rfam family "Bacterial small subunit ribosomal RNA", at positions 339 to 795 of the family's 1533-position model. The record is from RNAcentral.